Thrips palmi is the source of this 3988-nucleotide RNA transcript. It is a transcript of the gene named putative cyclin-dependent serine/threonine-protein kinase DDB_G0272797/DDB_G0274007, with no coding region annotated. The record is from RefSeq and is a predicted model, not a curated record. NCBI's taxonomy places the organism in Eukaryota, Metazoa, Arthropoda, Insecta, Thysanoptera, Thripidae. The transcript is spliced from 2 exons.
GAGCUCUCCCAAAGGAUGGACAGCGCGGACUUUAGCGGUGUGCAGCGACUGCCCGACAGCCUGUACCUGCCACUCAUCUCUGAUUCCUCCGGAGAGGUGUUCGCCAAUAACAAGCUAUCUCACUUUCGAGUCCAACUGCAGACGCCCCUGUAUCUAGGUGAAUCAGACUGGGAGUGCGGAUUGGCUGAAGUAAUUUGGCCCCCUGAUGGGAAGAAGAGGAAACAUCGGGCCAGCACUCCUGCGGGGAACGUCGACGAAGCAGCACGUGCGUCCUCAUCUGCGAGUCGCCACCAUGAUGCCGCCAUCGCGACGUCUACUGACCCCAUUGUUGGCGAGGACGAGCCUCAUGGCAGCACGCAGACGGAGACGCAGCAGAAAGACGACGAGAGCAUCGGCGCCCCUCAGGGGAAGAGGUCCGAAGUGCUCCAGCGCGGUGCGCCACCGCCCUCGUCGUCUGCGGAGACGACAGCCCCGUCUGCGGUGAGCCCCACCGAAGCUGGACGCCCUGCGCGGCUCCCUCGCGCUGUAGUGGGUGGAUCCCGUGCAUUUAUCUACUGUGACCUUAUUCGCCCAUCCCUCUGCUCGGACUUUAAAGGAAAAUGCCUUCGCAUCCUGCCCCUUAACCUGGACACUAGACAGCAGGUACUUUACCCUGUGUACUACUUCCCCAUCGAAAAGAGAGUGAUUGAUACUAUUUAUAUAGAAGUGAAGGACAAGCACAACGAGUAUCUGAACUUUGCGCCCAGCGAACACCCGCUGGUGCUCGUACUGCACAUCAAACGCUCCGCAGUCGCAUCGUAGCCGAGGAGUGAGAAGGAGGUCUCGUCACAGCCGCCAUUAUGGAACACGUUAAUCCCUUCUACGCCUACUACGUGGCUCAACAACAGCAAGGCGCUGGAUCGGCGUUACCUUACUACAGCUCGCGAUUUCGUGUUCAAGCGGGCCGUGGUUGGUUCGGCAAUCUUCUGCGCAGUGCGUGGAGGUACCUCAGCCCACUUGCAAGCAGUGCUGCAAAGCAUGCUGGGGCCGCAGCCUUUAGUGUCGGCUCCGAUAUGAUGAAGGAAGCUGUAAACAACCCCGGUGAAUCUAUGAAGAAUAUCAUCAAGCGCCAAGGCAAAGAAGGACUCACGCAGAUCGCGAAGGCAGCGCUCAACGGGGCCCGUCAAUCUGGCUCAGGACGCCGCGGGAAGCGUCGUCAGUUGGCUUCCAGACGCCGCCCAGCAAAGGCUGCUCCCGCCCGCACCAGCAUCCAGAAGCGUGGACACCGCCAGCGCCGUCCGCAGCCCCUGCCCAACGCAUCAUCCAUCCGAGACAUUUUCUCCCCACCAUCGCCAUGAGCUCGGAACUGGAGCCCUGCAUGAUAAAUCAGCUUGAUCUGUUUCGCAAGAAGCCGGUGCAGUCAUGCAUUACGGGACGCAUGGUGCAAAAAGUGAAGCCCCUGUCGGCUAUACCAGAGGUCCCAGAUGUGAUUGAGUUCAUGUGUCCCGGGCGGCCGCUGCACUAUAUGGACAUAAAUAAUAUAGCCCUGCGACUAAGUGUGUCAAUGGUGUGGGCUGAUGACAAUGUUCUUCGUGCCGAUCAAAAUGAUAUAGGUGUUAUUGACAAUCUCCUGCAUUCAUUCUUCAGUCAGUGUGAAGUGUACCUGUCUGAACAGCCCGUUACAAAGUCUCCUCAUCUAUAUCAUUACAAGGCCCUACUAGAUCUACACACGACGAGUGAUGAGAAUGCUAGAAAGGGUAUGCUGUCAACUUUGUUGUAUGUGCCUGACGCGAAUGCAACCACAUCAAAGGCAGCGUGGGACGAGCGACAGCUGGCAUUCAGGGAAUCUAAAAAGGUUGAACUGAUUGGCAAGAUUCGCCCUGAUGUAUGUUAUUUGGAAGACGGUGCUUACAUACUAGAUCAAGUGCCAAUCCGCGUACGCCUUACGCUCAAUACUCCUGAAAUCUACAUGGAUUCAAACGACGCGGGAAGCUGGGGCAAAAUCCGAUUUCAUGAUGCGGAGCUGCACAUCCCCUACUAUAUUGCUAACCCAGAACUGAGUCUUGGUGUGGAGCAAAUGCUAAGCCACCAAAGUGCUCAAUAUAGAUAUAAAUCGACGAUGUUGAAGACUUUCCUUCAUCCAACGGGCUCUGUGAACUUGAACAUACCAGUGGCGUUCUCUGGCAAGUUACCAACGUCUAUUCUGCUCACUGCCGUUAAAGCAUCUCACUUUAACGGCACCAAAACGUCGAGUCCCUUCGAGUUCCAACACUGUGGUUUUACGGAGAUAUCAUUCAUAUGUAACGGUAACGAGCGAAGAUAUGUCAUGGACAUGAGCAGUCCCUAUGGCUGUACGUCUCUCUUAAGAAGCCUCUACACUGAACUGGGGAUGGACUAUGAGGAAGGCAGUGGAAAUGUGUAUAAUGUGAGAAACAUACGCGAUGGCGCGUUUGCGUGUGCGGUCGACUUAACUGUCGAUCGCUCAGGAACGGGACCGAGCCAAAACAUUCAAGAAUACGGGACCGUGUCAGUGCAAGGAAGGUUGUCAGCAGCUCUUAAUGAAGCAGUAUGCAUCAUUCUGUACGCCAAGUUUGACAGCACCCUAGAAAUAAACGCCAGUCGCGAGGUGACCGUACUGUAAUAAGCAUGAAGGACUACAGCUCGCCGACGACGACUCUGGACCUGACAGCGGCUGCUAAGGCCCACCCGACCCUGCGACGAUUCCACAUCGGCACCUUCCCGCUGGACGCCCUCGCCGGCCUCAACGUCGCUGGACGGCCCCGCCAUCUUAUCUACAAUGAAUCACCGUCAACCCGACCGCCCGGCACCCACUGGGUGUCCAUAUGGCUCACAAAGGACUUCAAGGCGGAGGUCAUGAACAGCCUAGGUCGGCGGCCCCUAGCACCCGAAGUCAUUGGCUUUGUUCGGAGAAACAGCGCAAGUGCAGUGUACUCUGAUCGACAGAUUCAAAACUGGAUUAGCAAUGUAUGUGGCCUUUACUGUCUUAGUCAUGGGCUGGCCCGAGCACGAGGAUGCAGCCUGGAGUCCUGGAUGAGGCAGUUCUCGGAUCGGCUGGCUGAUAACGAUGACCUCGUGCAGUGCCAGUUCAUGAGGGAGCUUGCCAUCCCCUCCAUGUUCUCCCCCUCUCUUCGGAACUGGAAGAAACAGGUAGAACGUGCGUGCCACAACGUCAGUCUGCGCCGUGAACUUAAUCUGGCAGGAUGGCAUCGAUCCAGGACGCGCACGUCAGUACCACCAGCGGUGCCGGCGACAGCAGCAGCAACACGCCGUGCCAGGAGGCGUACGAGACCGCCAUGUGCUUCAUCGCGGACGAGGAGGCUAUUGCCACCACCACGGACACCCACGCCCUGUUCCAGACCUACCUAGCCAGUAUGUCUGAGCAGGACAUCCAGGAACAACAGCAGCAACAGCAACAGCUAGCGGAGCAGCAGCAGCAGCAGCAACAACAACAACAGGUGCAGCAGCAGCCGAACGAGGAGGAUGGUUCACCCAAGCCGUCAAGGAAACGUGCUCGUAAACAGACCCAUCCCCGGCCCAUCAAACCCGUAGACAUCAGAGUGAAGAGGCAGCGAAAGGAGCGUCCCACUGUUAGCGGUCUUCCUGCUGGGCAGCCAGCAGCAGCAGCAGCAGCAGCGUCAAUCAAGCCAAAACGAAAAAAGCAGCGACAAGAUAAACAGCAGCAGCCGAUGCCAGCACUGCAACCACCCCCUCCACCUGUGCAGCAGCACCAAUCAGGCGGGUCCGUGUGUCCCCAUAUUGAAAGACUGUGUCAGCUGCUCCAUGUGUCGUCUGGGGCCCAAAUGUGUCCAAGAAAUCUCUCAAGUUCUAAAUGAGUGUAGUCGCGUCGUGUGUGUGUGUGUGUGUGUGUGUGUGUUUGUAUGUUCAUGAAUAUUAAUAAAGAGAGAGAUGUUCAACUGAGCUAGUUGUAUUUUAUCAUUACUCUCUAUUUCCAUUUAAUUAUCAACUGUAUAUUCAUGGGGCAAGAUGA